UGAUGAUGGUGAGGACAAUUGAUAAGCGGAGAUUUGAACCUAUCCCAAGCUUGAUAUAAAUUCUCUCCAGAUUUUUGUUUAAAGCUUAGGAUUUUGCUUCUCAACUU
Small nucleolar RNA from Solanum dulcamara, 107 nucleotides. The record is from RefSeq and is a predicted model, not a curated record. Lineage: Eukaryota; Viridiplantae; Streptophyta; Magnoliopsida; Solanales; Solanaceae.